This 724-nucleotide small RNA is filed under the name Pongo abelii (Sumatran orangutan). RNAcentral describes it as "processed transcript". The record is from RNAcentral. Lineage: Eukaryota; Metazoa; Chordata; Mammalia; Primates; Hominidae.
CCGCAGCCCGGCGGUGUUGCCCCUGGGCGCCUGGGUCCUGGAAGGAGCCGCCCACCCGGGCGUCCGGGUGAUCCCAGUUGAAAUCAAGGAAGCAGGUGGUACUAUUACAAGUAAUAAUACGGAAGAAGCAACUUUGCAGAAUCUUCUUGCUCAGGAAUCCUGUUGCAAGUUCCCAUCGUCCCAGGAACUAGAGGAUGCCUCCUGCUGUUCUCUUAAGAAAGAUUCCAACCCAAUGCUUGAGGGAGCCUUACCAUCGGUAGCCAACGGGUCUGCUUUCCCCUCGGGAUCAACUCUUCCAGGACCACCAAAAAUAACUUUGGCUGGAGUAACUCUUAGUUCAUGGGACACAAAGUCUAAAAAGCCAUGUAACUGUACCAAAUCCCAGUGUCUGAAAUUAGCUCCUGCUGAAGUCACUGAGAGCCCCAGUGAUGGGACAGUGAUGUGGGGGUGCACCAGUGGGUAGAAAUCCAGAAGUCCGUGAAACUUAAUUCACACAACCAAAGUGGAAAAACAAAUUGAUUUUUAAAAAGUAAUUUCAGACAGUCUAGGGUUGACUGUCUGAAAAUAUUUGAGCUAUCAUUGGUUUAGUCUAUGAGGCCAUAUACUUCUCUGAACGUUGGAAACGCCAUGACACGACUGAUGAGGAAACUAAAGACGCAGCUCUGGGUAAGGAGGAGGAAGGACAGUGGGAGAAAGCCUGCACCCUGUGACACCAUCAAGCCAG